RNAcentral lists this ribosomal RNA (993 nucleotides) under Strophosoma capitatum. RNAcentral's name for it is "SSU rRNA". It matches the Rfam family "Eukaryotic small subunit ribosomal RNA", at positions 441 to 1416 of the family's 1831-position model. Lineage: Eukaryota; Metazoa; Arthropoda; Insecta; Coleoptera; Curculionidae. The record is from RNAcentral.
UUACCCACUCCCGGCACGGGGAGGUAGUGACGAAAAAUAACGAUACGGGACUCAUCCGAGGCCCCGUAAUCGGAAUGAGUACACUCUAAACCNUUUAACGAGGAUNNNNNGGAGGGCAAGUCUGGUGCCAGCAGCCGCGGUAAUUCCAGCUCCAAUAGCGUAUAUUAAAGUUGUUGCGGUUAAAAAGCUCGUAGUCGAAUUUGUGUCUCGUGCCGCUGGUUCAUCGUCCGCGGUGUUAACUGGCGAGUCGCGAGACGUCCUGCCGGUGGGCUUAGCCCGCGAGGGCGGCCCAACUCAAUCCUGCCGCGGUGCUCUUCAUUGAGUGUCGAGGUGGGCCGGCACGUUUACUUUGAACAAAUUAGAGUGCUUAAAGCAGGCUAAAACUUCGCCUGAAUACUGUGUGCAUGGAAUAAUGGAAUAGGACCUCGGUUCUAUUUUGUUGGUUUUCGGAACUCCGAGGUAAUGAUUAAUAGGAACGGAUGGGGGCAUUCGUAUUGCGACGUUAGAGGUGAAAUUCUUGGAUCGUCGCAAGANGGACAGAAGCGAAAGCAUUUGCCAAAAACGCUUUCAUUGAUCAAGAACGAAAGUUAGAGGUUCGAAGGCGAUCAGAUACCGCCCUAGUUCUAACUAUAAACGAUGCCAGCUAGCGAUCCGUCGACGUUCCUCCGAUGACUCGACGGGCAGCUUCCGGGAAACCAAAGCUUUUGGGUUCCGGGGGAAGUAUGGUUGCAAAGCUGAAACUUAAAGGAAUUGACGGAAGGGCACCACCAGGAGUGGAGCCUGCGGCUUAAUUUGACUCAACACGGGAAACCUCACCAGGCCCGGACACCGGAAGGAUUGANAGAUUGAGAGCUCUUUCUUGAUUCGGUGGGUGGUGGUGCAUGGCCGUUCUUAGUUGGUGGAGCGAUUUGUCUGGUUAAUUCCGAUAACGAACGAGACUCUAGCCUGCUAACUAGGCGUAUUUUGACAUUCUAAAGGCCCGCCGGCUUGGGG